RNAcentral lists this ribosomal RNA (388 nucleotides) under uncultured bacterium. RNAcentral's name for it is "partial 16S ribosomal RNA". It matches the Rfam family "Bacterial small subunit ribosomal RNA", at positions 523 to 918 of the family's 1533-position model. The record is from RNAcentral.
AUACGUAGGGAGCGAGCGUUAUCCGGAAUUAUUGGGCGUAAAGGGUGCGUAGACGGCAAUAAAAGUUUCUUGUCAAAUAUCUUGGCUCAACCAAGUAACGCAAGAGAUACUGUAUAGCUAGAGUAUAGGAGAGGUAAGUGGAACUCCAUGUGUAGCGGUAAAAUGCGUAAAUAUAUGGAAGAACACCAGUGGCGAAAGCGGCUUACUAGCCUGAUACUGACGUUGAGGCACGAAAGCGUGGGGAGCAAACAGGAUUAGAUACCCUGGUAGUCCACGCCCUAAACGAUGAGUACUAAGUGUUGGAGCAAUUCAGCGCUGAAGUUAACGCAUUAAGUACUCCGCCUGAGUAGUACGUACGCAAGUAUGAAACUUAAAGGAAUUGACGGGG